This 774-nucleotide ribosomal RNA is filed under the name uncultured Neocallimastigales. RNAcentral describes it as "partial large subunit ribosomal RNA". It matches the Rfam family "Eukaryotic large subunit ribosomal RNA", at positions 26 to 628 of the family's 3401-position model. Lineage: Eukaryota; Fungi; Neocallimastigomycota; Neocallimastigomycetes; Neocallimastigales. The record is from RNAcentral.
CGCAUCUGUGCAUGCAGCAUAUCAAUAAGCGGAGGAAAAGAAACUAACAAGGAUUCCCCUAGUAACGGCGAGUGAAGCGGGAAGAGCUCAAAUUUGAAAUCUUAAAGGGUUUCCCUUUACGAAUUGUAGUUUAAAGAAGUGUUUUCUGUUGAGGUUUUGGUAAAAGUUCUUUGGAAUAGGACAUCAUAGAGGGUGAGAAUCCCGUAUUUGACCUUUACUUUCAACUUUGUGAUACACUUUCAAAGAGUCGGAUUGUUUGGGAAUGCAGUCCAAAAUGGGUGGUAAAUUUCAUCUAAAGCUAAAUAUUGGCGAGAGACCGAUAGCGAACAAGUACCGUGAGGGAAAGAUGAAAAGAACUUUGAAAAGAGAGUUAAACAGUACGUGAAAUUGUCAAAAGGGAAGCGUUUGACACCAGUGUUGUUUUUCUGAAAAUCAAUUAAAGAACUGUUUAUGCUAAGCUGUUUAGACUUUAUCAGCUAUCUGUUUAGUUUUGAGCUUUUCUUUAAUGCACUUUUCAGUUAACAAGUCAACAUCAAUUUCUUUUGCUGUAAAAAAGCUUGAGGAAGGUGGCUUGAGAUUCGUCUUAAGUGUUUAUAGCCUCUUGCCUAUGCAGUCGGAGAGAUUGAGGUCUGCAGCGUAGAUCCUUCGGGGCUAAAUGCAUUUGUGCUAAGUUAUAGCAUUUUAUAGACAACUUGUUGACUAUGAUUUGUCUUGUAGCUUACUCGCUUAUGUUAUUUUACCUACGCUUAGGAUGUUGAGUCGUAGAGCACGCAG